UCGCUUUGGCAGCACAUAUACUAAAAUUGGAACGAUACAGAGAAGAUUAGCAUGGCCUCUGAAAAAAAAAAGAAAGAAAGAAAGUAAAGACCAUCUU
RNAcentral lists this small nuclear RNA (97 nucleotides) under Myotis brandtii (Brandt's bat). The record is from RNAcentral. Lineage: Eukaryota; Metazoa; Chordata; Mammalia; Chiroptera; Vespertilionidae.